ACGAUGUGUGGAGGAUGCUUGGAGGCACGUGAAGAGCAGUGUUGGUGCCAGCCCGGCGCAAUACGUGCUCGGCACAUUCGUGGACUUCAAAGGAGCAUUCGACAACGUCGAAUGGAGUGCUGCACUCCGCCGACUAGCCGACUUGGGAUGCCGGGAGAUGGGCUUGUGGCAGAGCUUUUUCUCCGGCCGAAGAGCAGUGAUCCGAAGCAGUUCCGGUACUGUGGAUGUACCGGUAACUAGAGGCUGCCCGCAGGGAUCAAUCAGUGGCCCAUUUAUCUGGGACAUACUGAUGGAUGUACUGCUUCAGCGUCUCCAGCCGUAUUGCCAGCUGAGUGCAUACGCGGAUGACUUGCUGCUUCUCGUCGAGGGAAAUUCCCGAGCUAUGCUAGAGGAAAAAGGUGCACAGCUGAUGUCCAUCGUAGAAGCGUGGGGAGCGGAAGUUGGCGUUGCCGUCUCGACCAGCAAGACGGUAAUAAUGCUGCUGAAAGGUACCUUGAGACGUGCGCCUACGGUGAGGUUUGCUGGAGCGAACCUUCCGUAUGUGCGUAGCUGUCGGUACCUUGGCAUCACGGUCAGUGAAGGAAUGAAAUUCCUCACGCACAUAGCUUCGCUUCGCCAGCGAAUGACCGGAGUCGUUGGAGCAUUGGCGCGUGUGCUUCGAGCAGACUGGGGCUUCAGUCCUCGAGCCAGGCGGACCAUAUAUGACGGACUCAUGGCACCUUGUGUGCUGUUUGGUGCCCCGGUAUGGUAUGACACCGCCGAGCAAGUAGCCGCCCGGAGAAGACUAGCCUCCUGCCAGAGGCUAAUCCUGCUUGGAAGCCUCUCGGUGUGCCGAACUGUGUCCACAGUGGCACUGCAGGUACUUGGUGGAGCUCCCCCGCUUGACUUGGCUGCUAAAUUUCUAGCGGUCAAAUACAAGCUGAAGCGUGGAUACCCGCUGGAGGAGAACGACUGGCUAUACGACGAGGACACUACGUGUCUAAGCUGGAAGCAGAGGAAGACGCGCCUAGAAGAGUGCUUACUGCAGAAUUGGCAGAAUAGAUGGGAUGACGACAGCGAGCCAGGACGGGUGACGCACAAGUUCAUCCCAUACGUCACUCUUGCCUAUCGGAAUCCAAGCUUUGGAUUCUCGAUGAGGACGUCUUACCUGCUGACAGGCCACGGGUCGUUUAACGCAUUUUUGCAAGGGAGAGCCCUCAGCGAUACCACUGCUUGCGCUUGUGGAGAUCCAUAUGAGGAUUGGAUGCACAUAUUGUGCGCCUGCCCCCUAUAUGCAGAUUUGCGGAACCUCGAUGGACUUGGAGUGCAGCGCCUUGGCGAAAACUGGACCUUCGAUAGAAUCCUGGAAGAUCAACAGAGGACUCAACAGCUGGCAGAGUUUGCGGACGAGGUGUUCCGUAGGAGGAGGGGCGUUUAGCCCAAAAACUUCGCCGUGUGGUUAGCGGGCGAGAAUACUUCCACAGCCCGCUAUUGCUUGUCGUAAGAGGCGACUAAUAUAGCGAUAGGUUCCUCUAACCGUGCUUGUCGGAGCAAAAGGAGGAGGCCCACCGAGCCUCUCUUUCGGUACCACGGGUUGUGCAGCUAUCCAAGACUGCACAUUGAGGUAGGCCCCCUGGUGGGAGUAUCGUGGUGGCUGUGGUUGGUACCCAUAUCGCGGGUAGAGCCUUCGUGUUCGACGUUUGAGUUGCGGUGCUGGUUGCGCAAAACUCGGGUGCUGUGACCCAGAGAUCAGUAGAGAUUUUAGGUAGAUCUCGCUCCUCAGCAAGGGGGAGUGCUUGCCCGGCAAGCAAGUACUCGAAUUGCUACCGGGGUGGUCGCUAUGUACAUAGCUAUAGCUUCCAGUCCGGGACGCUUGUCUGGCGUAUCCAGACUCAUGCACCAUGUUGAUACAUGCACCACUAGUGGGUGUUCAGGGUGUCGUGGUUGUAAUCCCUUCAGUGUGGAACACGCCACGUAAAACAAGUUCGGAGAGGUCCGAAAGUCACUGUCCCUAUCUACUAUCUAGCGAAACCACAGCCAAGGGAACGGGCUUGGAAUAAUUAGCGGGGAAAGAAGACCCUUUUGAGCUUGACUCUAAUCUGGCAGUGUAAGGAGACAUAAGAGGUGUAGAAUAAGUGGGAGAUAUUAGACCUCGGUUUGGUAUCGUCAAUGAAAUACCACUACUCUUAUUGUUUCCUUACUUACUUGAUUAAAUGGAACGUGUAUCAUUUCCUAGCCAUUAUACGGAUAUAUUUAUUAUAUCUUAUGGUAUUGGGUUUUGAUGCAAGCUUCUUGAUCAAAGUAUCACGAGUUUGUUAUAUAAUCGCAAACAAAUUCUUUAAUAAAACGAUGCAUUUAUGUAUUUUUGAUUUGAAAAUUUGGUAUAACUCCAAUUACUCAGGUAUGAUCCAAUUCAAGGACAUUGCCAGGUAGGGAGUUUGACUGGGGCGGUACAUCUCUCAAAUAAUAACGGAGGUGUCCCAAGGCCAGCUCAGUGCGGACAGAAACCACACAUAGAGCAAAAGGGCAAAUGCUGACUUGAUCUCGGUGUUCAGUACACACAGGGACAGCAAAAGCUCGGCCUAUCGAUCCUUUUGGUUUAAAGAGUUUUUAACAAGAGGUGUCAGAAAAGUUACCAUAGGGAUAACUGGCUUGUGGCGGCCAAGCGUUCAUAGCGACGUCGCUUUUUGAUCCUUCGAUGUCGGCUCUUCCUAUCAUUGUGAAGC
RNAcentral lists this ribosomal RNA (2705 nucleotides) under Drosophila simulans. RNAcentral describes it as "eukaryotic LSU rRNA". The stretch from base 1955 to 2705 matches the Rfam family "Eukaryotic large subunit ribosomal RNA", at positions 1891 to 2908 of the family's 3401-position model. The record is from RNAcentral. Lineage: Eukaryota; Metazoa; Arthropoda; Insecta; Diptera; Drosophilidae.